Molecule: non-coding RNA, 147 nt
Filed under: Nomascus leucogenys (northern white-cheeked gibbon)
Lineage: Eukaryota; Metazoa; Chordata; Mammalia; Primates; Hylobatidae
Source: Rfam by way of RNAcentral
GCCAGGUGUGGUGGUGUGCACCUGUAGUCCCAGCUACUUGGGGGCUGAGGUGGGAGGAUUGCUUGAGCCUGGGAGGUUGGGACUUCAAUGAGCUGUCUUUGUGCCAUUGUACUCUAGCCUGGGUGACAAAGUGAGACCCUGUCUCAA